ACGGGUGAGUAAUGUAUCGGAACGUGCCUAGUAGCGGGGGAUAACUACGCGAAAGCGUAGCUAAUACCGCAUACGCCCUACGGGGGAAAGCAGGGGAUCGCAAGACCUUGCACUAUUAGAGCGGCCGAUAUCGGAUUAGCUAGUUGGUGGGGUAACGGCUCACCAAGGCGACGAUCCGUAGCUGGUUUGAGAGGACGACCAGCCACACUGGGACUGAGACACGGCCCAGACUCCUACGGGAGGCAGCAGUGGGGAAUUUUGGACAAUGGGGGAAACCCUGAUCCAGCCAUCCCGCGUGUGCGAUGAAGGCCUUCGGGUUGUAAAGCACUUUUGGCAGGAAAGAAACGUCAUGGGUUAAUACCCCGUGAAACUGACGGUACCUGCAGAAUAAGCACCGGCUAACUACGUGCCAGCAGCCGCGGUAAUACGUAGGGUGCAAGCGUUAAUCGGAAUUACUGGGCGUAAAGCGUGCGCAGGCGGUUCGGAAAGAAAGAUGUGAAAUCCCAGAGCUUAACUUUGGAACUGCAUUUUUAACUACCGAGCUAGAGUGUGUCAGAGGGAGGUGGAAUUCCGCGUGUAGCAGUGAAAUGC
This 591-nucleotide ribosomal RNA is filed under the name Achromobacter sp. HRTP073. RNAcentral describes it as "bacterial SSU rRNA". It matches the Rfam family "Bacterial small subunit ribosomal RNA", at positions 102 to 689 of the family's 1533-position model. Lineage: Bacteria; Pseudomonadati; Pseudomonadota; Betaproteobacteria; Burkholderiales; Alcaligenaceae. The record is from RNAcentral.